GAGGGUAUAGCUCAGUGUAGAGCACAUGCUUAGCAUGCAUGAGGUCAUGGGUUCGAGCCCAAGUACAUCCA
Molecule: transfer RNA, 71 nt
Filed under: Camelus bactrianus (Bactrian camel)
Lineage: Eukaryota; Metazoa; Chordata; Mammalia; Artiodactyla; Camelidae
Also listed under: 2 other names
Rfam family: tRNA
About the family: Transfer RNA (tRNA) molecules are approximately 80 nucleotides in length. Their secondary structure includes four short double-helical elements and three loops (D, anti-codon, and T loops). Further hydrogen bonds mediate the characteristic L-shaped molecular structure. tRNAs have two regions of fundamental functional importance: the anti-codon, which is responsible for specific mRNA codon recognition, and the 3' end, to which the tRNAs corresponding amino acid is attached (by aminoacyl-tRNA synthetases). tRNAs cope with the degeneracy of the genetic code in two manners: having more than one tRNA (with a specific anti-codon) for a particular amino acid; and 'wobble' base-pairing, i.e. permitting non-standard base-pairing at the 3rd anti-codon position.
Source: Rfam by way of RNAcentral